GCAGUCGGUCGGUCUGUCGCUUGUGCGUAGUGCACAAGAGGAAAGUCCGGGCAACACAGAGCAUCCUACUUCCUAACAGAAAGCUGUUCGCAAGGGCAGAGUAACGCAGAAGAAAAUAACCGCCGGUGCACUCCCUCAGGAGAGCUUCGGUAAGGGUGAGAAGGCAGGGUAAGAGCCUACCGGUCUUGUGGCGAUGCAAGAGCCGUGCGUCUUGGGAGUUGUAAGGUCAUGUAAACCGGCGCUUGAGGGCUGCUCGCUCGAUUGCCGGAGGGUAGACCGCUAAAGCUGCAUGGUGACAUGCAGCGCAGAUAAAUGACAGACACCUUGUUUGCUAUAUAUGUAUAAACUUAUUUAUCGCAAAGAAGGUACAGAACCCGGCUUACAGACCGACUGCGCAU
Molecule: RNase P RNA, 398 nt
Filed under: Prevotellaceae bacterium
Lineage: Bacteria; Pseudomonadati; Bacteroidota; Bacteroidia; Bacteroidales; Prevotellaceae
Description: RNase P RNA component class A
Rfam family: Bacterial RNase P class A
About the family: Ribonuclease P (RNase P) is a ubiquitous endoribonuclease, found in archaea, bacteria and eukarya as well as chloroplasts and mitochondria. Its best characterised activity is the generation of mature 5'-ends of tRNAs by cleaving the 5'-leader elements of precursor-tRNAs. Cellular RNase Ps are ribonucleoproteins.
Source: RNAcentral